RNAcentral lists this ribosomal RNA (468 nucleotides) under uncultured bacterium. RNAcentral's name for it is "partial 16S ribosomal RNA". It matches the Rfam family "Bacterial small subunit ribosomal RNA", at positions 28 to 507 of the family's 1533-position model. The record is from RNAcentral.
GACGAACGCUGGCGGCGUGCUUAACACAUGCAAGUCGAACGGAAAGGCCCUGCUUUUGUUGGGUGCUCGAGUGGCGAACGGGUGAGUAACACGUGAGUAACCUGCCCUUGACUUUGGGAUAACUUCAGGAAACUGGGGCUAAUACCGGAUAGGAGCUCCUGCUGCAUGGUGGGGGUUGGAAAGUUUCGGCGGUUGGGGAUGGACUCGCGGCUUAUCAGCUUGUUGGUGGGGUAGUGGCUUUCGAAGGCUUUGACGGGUAGCCGGCCUGAGAGGGUGACCGGCCACAUUGGGACUGAGAUACGGACCAGACUCCUACGGGAGGCAGCAGUGGGGAGUCUUGCACAAUGGGCGGAAGCCUGAUGCAGAAACGCCGCGUGCGGGAUGACGGCCUUCGGGUUGUAAACCGCUUUCGCCUGUGACGAAGCGUGAGUGACGGUAAUGGGUAAAGAAGCACCGGCUAACUACGUG